Molecule: ribosomal RNA, 427 nt
Filed under: uncultured bacterium
Lineage: Bacteria
Description: partial 16S ribosomal RNA
Rfam family: Bacterial small subunit ribosomal RNA
Source: RNAcentral
UGGGGAAUAUUGGACAAUGGGCGAAAGCCUGAUCCAACCAUGCCGCGUGUGUGAAGAAGGUCUUCGGAUUGUAAAGCACUUUAAGUUGGGAGGAAGGGCAUUAACCUAAUACGUUAGUGUUUUGACGUUACCGACAGAAUAAGCACCGGCUAACUCUGUGCCAGCAGCCGCGGUAAUACAGAGGGUGCAAGCGUUAAUCGGAAUUACUGGGCGUAAAGCGCGCGUAGGUGGUUUGUUAAGUUGGAUGUGAAAGCCCCGGGCUCAACCUGGGAACUGCAUCCAAAACUGGCAAGCUAGAGUACGGUAGAGGGUGGUGGAAUUUCCUGUGUAGCGGUGAAAUGCGUAGAUAUAGGAAGGAACACCAGUGGCGAAGGCGACCACCUGGACUGAUACUGACACUGAGGUGCGAAAGCGUGGGGAGCAAACA